This 430-nucleotide ribosomal RNA is filed under the name uncultured bacterium. RNAcentral describes it as "partial 16S ribosomal RNA". It matches the Rfam family "Bacterial small subunit ribosomal RNA", at positions 29 to 507 of the family's 1533-position model. The record is from RNAcentral.
AACGAACGCUGGCGGCAGGCUUAACACAUGCAAGUCGAACGCCCCGCAAGGGAGUGGCAGACGGGUGAGUAACGCGUGGGAACAUACCCUUUUCUACGGAAUAGCUCUGGGAAACUGGAAUUAAUACCGUAUACGCCCUACGGGGGAAAGAUUUAUCGGGGAAGGAUUGGCCCGCGUUGGAUUAGCUAGUUGGUGGGGUAAAGGCCUACCAAGGCGACGAUCCAUAGCUGGUCUGAGAGGAUGAUCAGCCACAUUGGGACUGAGACACGGCCCAAACUCCUACGGGAGGCAGCAGUGGGGAAUAUUGGACAAUGGGCGCAAGCCUGAUCCAGCCAUGCCGCGUGAGUGAUGAAGGCCUUAGGGUUGUAAAGCUCUUUCACCGAUGAAGAUAAUGACGGUAGUCGGAGAAGAAGCCCCGGCUAACUUCGUG